GCCCGGGUAGCUCAGUGGUUGAGCGCCUGCCUUUGGCCCAGGGCGUGAUCCCAGGGGUCUUGGGGUCAAGUCCCACGUUGGGCU
This 84-nucleotide transfer RNA is filed under the name Canis lupus familiaris (dog). It matches the Rfam family "tRNA". From Rfam's summary of the family: Transfer RNA (tRNA) molecules are approximately 80 nucleotides in length. Lineage: Eukaryota; Metazoa; Chordata; Mammalia; Carnivora; Canidae. RNAcentral also lists the same sequence under 1 other name. The record is from Rfam by way of RNAcentral.